AUAAAUUAACCAUAAAAUUAGGAGUUACACAAUUGGGCAUUCACUAUAAUUAUCUUCAUAACAAUAUGUAAUUAAUCAAUUUAUUACCAUCCUAGUAAUUUACACUCAUAUUAAUUAUAUCAAGCCAAAUCUAUAAUUCAUUAAUUUAUGUCUUAUUAGAUUAAUCAAACUACAUUUAUUCGGUCUAAACCCAUCAGAAUGUUUGUUGGGUGCAUUUUGUCAUAAACAGAAAGUUACUGGCCGCAACAAUAACAAAGGCUUCUUUAUGACUGAUUUGUCUAAUCCUAAAAUUUCUACAUUCGUAACUUAAUUUCUAGGACUACAGAUAAUGAAUGUAAAUUAAGGAAGUCUACUGACCUUAGCGCAAUCCCUAGAAUUUCCAGGUCAUCUUCUUCCCAUAAUUUGGGAAGUGCCGCAGAACUCCGGCGGAAGAGCCCAGAUCCCGACGAGGCUCCUAAAAAAUAAUCAAUGAAAAAGCAAUCUAAUCGGCUGGAAAGUUUCCUAACCUUGAUUCAAAGCUUUCCAGGUGUUUUCAAUCAUUUGGGUCGUCCUUAAGGUUCCGAACAGGUGAAUCGAUGCAAGGUCGCCGACGGAAACUCGGUUUCUAAACCCAAGAAGAGCCGUCGUCGGAUUGAAGAGUCGCCACAGCCGUUCAUUGAUUGCGAUCCUGAAAUCCUGAGGGAGCCGAUUCGCUUGUGGCCACAGGUCCGCCGUCGUGAUUGGAUGGCCGACUCCAGAAAGAAGCAUUGAGAGGGGAAUCGACUCUUGGAGCCUGGGGUUUCGUUAAAAACCAUUCAGUAAAUUUUGGGAUGAUCCUAAAUUAAUUCCUGAAGGGAGGAGAAUGAUUGAUUACCGGAAUUGACUGGAUUUUGUUAGAAG
RNAcentral lists this long non-coding RNA (879 nucleotides) under Linum usitatissimum (flax). Its description in RNAcentral is "long non-coding RNA (LUSI_LNC004890)". Lineage: Eukaryota; Viridiplantae; Streptophyta; Magnoliopsida; Malpighiales; Linaceae. The record is from RNAcentral.